AACAGUCUUCUUGUGUUUAGUAAUGCGUGUCUGAGCGUGCAUGCGCACACUGGCAAAAAUGCAUGCGUGGUGGAAGCAAUGGUACUCUAUCUAGUACUCCCUCCAUCCCAAAUUAUAAGGCUUUGUUUAGAUGUGAAAAGUUUUUAGAUUUCGCUACUGUAGCACUUUCGUUUGUUUGUGUCAAAUAUUGUUUAAUCAUGGACUAACUAGGAUCAAAAGAUUCGUCUCGCGAUUUACAUGUAAACUGUGCAAUUAGUUUUUGUUUUCAUCUAUAUUUAAUGCUUCAUACAGAAGGGCUUUAGCCCCGGGCCGUAAGAGCCUUUAGUCCCGGCUACGGAAUCGGGGCUAAGGUUUCGGGACUAAAUGUCCCACCUUUAGUCCCGGUUCCGAGGACCGGGACUAAAGGUCCAGCUUUAGUCCCGGUUGGUAACAGCAACCGGGACUAAAAGGUGCGCCAGGGUGUGCCACCUGGCCUCCACUUUUAGUCCCGGUUGUUGCUACCAACCGGGACUAAAGACUUUUUUCUUUUUUUCUUUUUCUUUUCAUUUAGUUUUCUAUUUAGGGUUUAUAAUUAUGUUAUUGUUAUUUUCGAAUGCGUAUUGUUUGCUGGUAGUUUAUGGAACGCGCACCUAUAAUUUAUAUAAUUUAAAGCAUUACAUAGAAAUAUACUAUAAAACACUAUAUAUAUAUAUAAAUAAUAUGUAUCUAUAGGUCCAUAAUAUAAUAUUUACACAUAUGCUUCACGGACAAAGUAUUUACAACACAAUUUAUCUCCGCCACUCAAGCAUCGUACAAAUGAUCAUCGUUAUUUGGUUUCAUUGGCUCCUGAUGGUUGAAGUAGCACUCGCCGCCGGGAUUCAGGACUUGGUCGUUAAGAAAUCCUACGAUUGUCUCCUGAAUUCCUUUUAGGCGCACCACAUCCAACACCUACUCCUUCAGCCACAUCUCCUUUAAUAGACAUUAAAGAAAAAAGUUAGAGGUAUGAAUAGGAUUUAUUAAAUAGCAACAAAUAAAUGAAAUAAACUUAUUAUAUAUACAUGUUACAUACUUUUAGGUGCUCAAGAUUAGUUCUUUUGGCAUACACCGUCAUAAACUCGCACACAUAGUAGCCACACAAAUUGUUGCCCGGUGUCUGCCGUAGAACCCACUCAAGUAAGAUGGGCUUUGAAAGUGCUGCAUUCAACUCUGGACGGUGUUUCUGCACGAACCCAGCCCAAACCCUAGCA
Molecule: long non-coding RNA, 1226 nt
Filed under: Sorghum bicolor (sorghum)
Lineage: Eukaryota; Viridiplantae; Streptophyta; Magnoliopsida; Poales; Poaceae
Description: long non-coding RNA (SBIC_LNC007021)
Source: RNAcentral